RNAcentral lists this non-coding RNA (26 nucleotides) under Mus musculus (house mouse). Lineage: Eukaryota; Metazoa; Chordata; Mammalia; Rodentia; Muridae. The record is from RNAcentral.
UAGGUGUGGCAAGCAGGGACACUUGA